GCCAAUGACCAAAGCACCCUGAAUGCUCCCGAUCUAGUCAGUUCUCAUAAGCUAACAGAGUUGAGCCUGGUUAGUACUCAGUUGUAGACUGCCUAGGAAUCCCAGGUAUUGUAGGCU
Molecule: ribosomal RNA, 117 nt
Filed under: Petromyzon marinus (sea lamprey)
Lineage: Eukaryota; Metazoa; Chordata; Hyperoartia; Petromyzontiformes; Petromyzontidae
Source: RNAcentral